RNAcentral lists this ribosomal RNA (534 nucleotides) under uncultured bacterium. Its description in RNAcentral is "bacterial SSU rRNA". It matches the Rfam family "Bacterial small subunit ribosomal RNA", at positions 772 to 1299 of the family's 1533-position model. The record is from RNAcentral.
ACUCAAUAGAUACCCGGGUAGUCCUAGCUGUAAACGGUGCGCGUUUGGUGUUGGGGAGUUAGACCUCCUCAGUGCCGAAAGCUAAACGCGUUAAACGCGCCGCCUGGGAAGUACGAUCGCAAGAUUAAAACUCAAAGAAAUUGACGGGGACCCGCACAAGCGGUGGAGUAUGUGGCUUAAUUCGAUGCAACGCGAAGAACCUUACCUGGAUUUGACAUGCAUUGUGUCUCCAAUGAAAGUUGGAUAGAGUAGAAAUACUCGCUUUGCACAGGUGCUGCAUGGCUGUCGUCAGCUCGUGUCGUGAGAUGUUGGGUUUAAGUCCCGCAACGAGCGCAACCCUCGUGGUUUGUUGCCACCGGAAUUUUCCGCGCACUCAAACCAUACUGCCCAGAUUAACUGGGAGGAAGGCGAGGACGACGUCAAGUCAGUAUGGCCCUUACAUCCAGGGCUGCACACGUACUACAAUGCCCAAUCAAAUAGAACCUAGGCCGCGAGGCGGAGGAAAUCUCAGAAAACUUGGGCUCAGUUCAGAUU